RNAcentral lists this long non-coding RNA (1144 nucleotides) under Oncorhynchus mykiss (rainbow trout). RNAcentral describes it as "lncRNA (ENSOMYG00000064961.1)". The record is from RNAcentral. Lineage: Eukaryota; Metazoa; Chordata; Actinopteri; Salmoniformes; Salmonidae.
UCUCGCUCGCUCUCCUCCCUCGCUCUCCUCCCUCUCUCGCUCGCUCUCCUCCCUCUCUCGCUCGCUCUCCUCCCUCUCUCUAUCUCUCGCUCUCCUCCCUCUCUCUCCUCCCUCUCUCCUCCCUCUCUCUCCUCCCUCUCUCUCUCUCUUUCUCUCCUCCCUCUCUCUCUCUCUCUCCUCCCUCUCUCUCUCUCUCGCUCUCCUCCCUCUCUCUCGCUCUCCUCCCUCUCUCUCUCUCGCUCUCCUCCCUCUCUCUCGCUCUCCUCCCUCUCUCUCUCUCGCUCUCCUCCCUCUCUCUCCCUCGCUCGCUCUCCUCCCUCUCUUGCUCGCUCUCCUCCCUCGCUCGCUCUCCUCCCUCCCUCGCUUGCUCUCCUCCCUCUCUCGCUCGCUCUCCUCCCUCGCUCUCCUCCCUCUCUCUCGCUCGCUCUCCUCCCUCUCUCUCUCGCUCGCUCUCCUCCCUCUCUCUCUCGCUCGCUCUCCUCCCUCUCUCUCUCUCGCUCGCUCUCCUCCCUCUCUCUCUCUCGCUCGCUCUCCUCCCUCUCUCUCUCUCGCUCGCUCUCCUCCCUCUCUCUCUCUCGCUCGCUCUCCUCCCUCUCUCUCUCGCUCGCUCUCCUCCCUCUCUCUCGCUCGCUCUCCUCCCUCUCUCUCUCGCUCGCUCUCCUCCCUCUCUCUCUCGCUCGCUCUCCUCCCUCUCUCUCGCUCGCUCUCCUCCCUCACUCUCCUCCCUCUCUCUCGUUCGCUCUCCUCCCUCUCUCUCGUUCGCUCUCCUCCCUCUCUCUCGUUCGCUCUCCUCCCUCUCCUCCCUCUCUCGCUCUCCUCCCUCUCUUUCAAAUGUAUGAGCCCCUUCUCCCUCCUCGCUCUCUUUCUUCCAUCUCUUCCCCUUCUCUACCCUCUCCCAUAUGUAGAAGGUACACACCCUCAUGCUGUGAUGAAAGAGGGAGAAAUGUAGCCUACCGGAACGUGAGCUUUAGACAUUACCUACAACUGUAUCAUCACACAUUUGAAGUCCUUUACUGCACUUGACAAGCCGGCGUGAGAAACGUAAUGCGGCCACAAUGUGAAGCGAUGGUUUAUUUCACAUGCCAUUUCCUUCGGGUGUGGUAAUGAGAAACAACAUUAACAUUCUGCUGACACGUGUUUCCUC